UGACCUCAAAUCAGGUAGGACUACCCGCUGAACUUAAGCAUAUCAAUAAGCGGAGGAAAAGAAACUAACAAGGAUUCCCCUAGUAACUGCGAGUGAAGCGGGAAAAGCUCAAAUUUUGAAUCUGGCGGUCUUCGCAGGCCGUCCGAGUUGUAAUCUAGAGAAG
RNAcentral lists this ribosomal RNA (163 nucleotides) under Boletus hiratsukae. Its description in RNAcentral is "partial 28S ribosomal RNA". It matches the Rfam family "Eukaryotic large subunit ribosomal RNA", at positions 1 to 158 of the family's 3401-position model. Lineage: Eukaryota; Fungi; Basidiomycota; Agaricomycetes; Boletales; Boletaceae. The record is from RNAcentral.